UAGGGAAUCUUCACAAUGGACGAAAGUCUGAUGGAGCAACGCCGCGUGAGUGAAGAAGGUUUUCGGAUCGUAAAGCUCUGUUGUUGGUGAAGAAGGAUAGAGGCAGUAACUGGUCUUUAUUUGACGGUAAUCAACCAGAAAGUCACGGCUAACUACGUGCCAG
RNAcentral lists this ribosomal RNA (163 nucleotides) under uncultured bacterium. Its description in RNAcentral is "partial 16S rRNA". It matches the Rfam family "Bacterial small subunit ribosomal RNA", at positions 355 to 511 of the family's 1533-position model. The record is from RNAcentral.